Molecule: ribosomal RNA, 274 nt
Filed under: uncultured bacterium
Lineage: Bacteria
Description: partial 16S ribosomal RNA
Rfam family: Bacterial small subunit ribosomal RNA
Source: RNAcentral
AUACGAGGGGUGCAAGCGUUAAUCGGAAUUACUGGGCGUAAAGCGUUCGUAGGCGGUUUGUUAAGCAAGAUGUGAAAGCCCUGGGCUCAACCUGGGAACUGCAUUUUGAACUGGCAAGCUAGAAUACUGUAGAGGGUGGUGGAAUUUCCAGUGUAGCGGUGAAAUGCGUAGAGAUUGGAAGGAACAUCAGUGGCGAAGGCGGCCACCUGGACAGAUAUUGACGCUGAGGAACGAAAGCGUGGGGAGCGAACAGGAUUAGAAACCCCGGUAGUCC